RNAcentral lists this unclassified non-coding RNA (656 nucleotides) under uncultured Bordetella sp. Its description in RNAcentral is "partial 16S-23S ribosomal RNA intergenic spacer". It matches the Rfam family "Bacterial small subunit ribosomal RNA", at positions 835 to 1499 of the family's 1533-position model. The record is from RNAcentral. Lineage: Bacteria; Pseudomonadati; Pseudomonadota; Betaproteobacteria; Burkholderiales; Alcaligenaceae.
UGGCCUUGGUAGCGCAGCUAACGCGCGAAGCUGACCGCCUGGGGAGUACGGUCGCAAGAUUAAAACUCAAAGGAAUGACGGACCCGCACAAGCGGUGGAUGAUGUGGAUUAAUUCGAUGCAACGCGAAAAACCUUACCUACCUUGACAUGUCUGGAAUCCCGAAGAGAUUUGGGAGUGCUCGUAAGAGAACCGGAACACAGGUGCUGCAUGGCUGUCGUCAGCUCGUGUCGUGAGAUGCUGGGUUAAGUCCCGCAACGAGCGCAACCCUUGUCAUUAGUUGCUACGAAAGGGCACUCUAAUGAGACUGCCGGUGACAAACCGGAGGAAGGUGGGGAUGACGUCAAGUCCUCAUGGCCCUUGCGGGUAGGGCUUCACACGUCAUACAAUGGUCGGGACAGAGGGUCGCCAACCCGCGAGGGGGAGCUAAUCCCAGAAACCCGAUCGUAGUCCGGAUCGCAGCCUGCAACUCGACUGCGUGAAGUCGGAAUCGCCAGUAAUCGCGGAUCAGCAUGUCGCGGUGAAUACGUUCCCGGGUCUUGUACACACCGCCCGUCACACCAUGGGAGUGGGUUUUACCAGAAGUAGUUAGCCUAACCGUAAGGAGGGCGAUUACCACGGUAGGAUUCAUGACUGGGGUGAAGUCGUAACAAGGUAG